This 415-nucleotide ribosomal RNA is filed under the name uncultured Actinomycetes bacterium. RNAcentral's name for it is "bacterial SSU rRNA". It matches the Rfam family "Bacterial small subunit ribosomal RNA", at positions 945 to 1359 of the family's 1533-position model. Lineage: Bacteria; Bacillati; Actinomycetota; Actinomycetes. The record is from RNAcentral.
AUUAAUUCGAUGCAACGCGAAGAACCUUACCAAGGCUUGACAUAUACUGGACCGCAUCAGAGAUGGUGUUUCCCUUCGGGGCUGGUGUACAGGUGGUGCAUGGUUGUCGUCAGCUCGUGUCGUGAGAUGUUGGGUUAAGUCCCGCAACGAGCGCAACCCUCGUUCUAUGUUGCCAGCACGUUAUGGUGGGGACUCAUAGGAGACUGCCGGGGUCAACUCGGAGGAAGGUGGGGAUGACGUCAAAUCAUCAUGCCCCUUAUGUCUUGGGCUUCACGCAUGCUACAAUGGCCGGUACAGAGGGUUGCGAUACUGUGAGGUGGAGCUAAUCCCUAAAAGCUGGUCUCAGUUCGGAUUGGGGUCUGCAACUCGACCCCAUGAAGUCGGAGUCGCUAGUAAUCGCAGAUCAGCAACGCUG